RNAcentral lists this small nuclear RNA (194 nucleotides) under Brassica napus (rape). RNAcentral's name for it is "snRNA U2". It matches the Rfam family "U2 spliceosomal RNA". From Rfam's summary of the family: U2 is a small nuclear RNA (snRNA) component of the spliceosome (involved in pre-mRNA splicing). Complementary binding between U2 snRNA (in an area lying towards the 5' end but 3' to hairpin I) and the branchpoint sequence (BPS) of the intron results the bulging out of an unpaired adenosine, on the BPS, which initiates a nucleophilic attack at the intronic 5' splice site, thus starting the first of two transesterification reactions that mediate splicing. The record is from Rfam by way of RNAcentral. RNAcentral also lists the same sequence under 1 other name. Lineage: Eukaryota; Viridiplantae; Streptophyta; Magnoliopsida; Brassicales; Brassicaceae.
AUACCUUUCUCGGCCUUUUGGCUAAGAUCAAGUGUAGUAUCUGUUCUUAUCAGUUUAAUAUUUGAUAUGUGGGCCAUGGGCUGCUCGAUAUUAACUCAAUAUUUUGAGGGAAGAAGCCUGACAAUAUAUCUUGCUAUAUGGGUUUCCAUGAGUUGCCCAUGCGUUGCACUAGUGCACGGGCUGGCUCAACCCAC